This 239-nucleotide long non-coding RNA is filed under the name Elaeis guineensis (African oil palm). Its description in RNAcentral is "long non-coding RNA (EGUI_LNC016250)". The record is from RNAcentral. Lineage: Eukaryota; Viridiplantae; Streptophyta; Magnoliopsida; Arecales; Arecaceae.
UUUCAUGAUUUUCUAUAUUGUUUUAUGACAUCAUGCACUGUUUCAUAACUUUAUGUGCUGCUUUAUGACUUCCGACGCUGUUUUAUAAUCUCCGACAUUACUUCAGGACAUCCUACACUAUUUUAUGAUUUUCUUCACUAAUUUAUGAUAUCUCAUAUUAUUUUAUGAUAUUUUAUAUUAUUUUAUUACUUUCUAUACUAUUUCAUGACUUUCGAUGCUGCCAGUAUUUUAUAUAUGGG